This is a non-coding RNA of Salvelinus fontinalis (brook trout), 586 nucleotides long. The record is from the annotation of a RefSeq genome assembly. Lineage: Eukaryota; Metazoa; Chordata; Actinopteri; Salmoniformes; Salmonidae.
UGAGUUUAACACUUCAUGACUGAGAGCUGUCCUUCAUGACAACAGAACCCACAACAACCAUGACUUGUAUCACCAUCUUUAUCUGGAUUGUUGCCCUCUGUCUCCAAGAGUCCAGAGGCCAGGUCACUGUGACUCAGACCCCUGCAGUGAAAGCUGUUUCAGUUGGUCACUCAGUCAGUCUCAGCUGUAAGACCAGCAGUGCUGUAUACAGUGACAGCAAUGGACACUAUUUGCACUGGUAUCAACAGAAACCUGGAGGAGCUCCUAAACUCCUAAUAUACUGGUCUAAAACCCUUCAGUCUGGGACGCCAUCUAGAUUCAGUGGCAGUGGAUCUGGGAGUGACUUCACUCUGACCAUCAGUGGAGUCCAGGCUGAAGAUGCAGGAGAUUACUACUGUCAGAGUUUACACUACAUCAAUAGUAAAUAUGUAUUCACACAGUGAUACAGAGCUGUACAAAAACCUCCCUCAGUCAGACUGCACAGUGACUGUACUGCUACAGCUGGGACCUACUGCAGGUGCUGAGGGGGAAGAGACAGUGACAUGGAACACUGAUCAGUAGAGGAGGUCAACUUUGAAAACAGUAU